RNAcentral lists this ribosomal RNA (892 nucleotides) under Staphylococcus cohnii. Its description in RNAcentral is "bacterial SSU rRNA". It matches the Rfam family "Bacterial small subunit ribosomal RNA", at positions 70 to 944 of the family's 1533-position model. Lineage: Bacteria; Bacillati; Bacillota; Bacilli; Caryophanales; Staphylococcaceae. The record is from RNAcentral.
CAGAUAAGGAGCUUGCUCCUUUGACGUUAGCGGCGGACGGGUGAGUAACACGUGGGUAACCUACCUAUAAGACUGGAAUAACUCCGGGAAACCGGGGCUAAUGCCGGAUAACAUUUAGAACCGCAUGGUUCUAAAGUGAAAGAUGGUUUUGCUAUCACUUAUAGAUGGACCCGCGCCGUAUUAGCUAGUUGGUAAGGUAACGGCUUACCAAGGCAACGAUACGUAGCCGACCUGAGAGGGUGAUCGGCCACACUGGAACUGAGACACGGUCCAGACUCCUACGGGAGGCAGCAGUAGGGAAUCUUCCGCAAUGGGCGAAAGCCUGACGGAGCAACGCCGCGUGAGUGAUGAAGGUCUUCGGAUCGUAAAACUCUGUUAUUAGGGAAGAACAAAUGUGUAAGUAACUAUGCACGUCUUGACGGUACCUAAUCAGAAAGCCACGGCUAACUACGUGCCAGCAGCCGCGGUAAUACGUAGGUGGCAAGCGUUAUCCGGAAUUAUUGGGCGUAAAGCGCGCGUAGGCGGUUUCUUAAGUCUGAUGUGAAAGCCCACGGCUCAACCGUGGAGGGUCAUUGGAAACUGGGAAACUUGAGUGCAGAAGAGGAAAGUGGAAUUCCAUGUGUAGCGGUGAAAUGCGCAGAGAUAUGGAGGAACACCAGUGGCGAAGGCGACUUUCUGGUCUGUAACUGACGCUGAUGUGCGAAAGCGUGGGGAUCAAACAGGAUUAGAUACCCUGGUAGUCCACGCCGUAAACGAUGAGUGCUAAGUGUUAGGGGGUUUCCGCCCCUUAGUGCUGCAGCUAACGCAUUAAGCACUCCGCCUGGGGAGUACGACCGCAAGGUUGAAACUCANAGGAAUUGACGGGGACCCGCACAAGCGGUGGAGCAUGUGG